GCUACAUGGCGAUGCGACCAUGAGUUUCAUACGAACAUCAUUAUCAUAUAACUUUUUUGGUUGAUUUUCUUUAGGUUCUCUUUUAGUGUUUUAUCUAAAUUUUUUAAUUUUUGUCAGUGGUUCCGUGCGCAAGGCACUCGUAGUGAUUUCAAAAUACAAAUAAACACGGACUAAAUAACAAAAGAAGUACGCGGCGAACAUAAUAAACCUAGUUGAAUUUAUAAUAGAAAAUUUAAUAUGUAGGUAUAUUAUAAAACCCGGUUAACUUCUUAAAAAAACAAAUCCAAUUAAAUUUUAAAUCUUUUGGGCCAAUUAAACUCCUUUAUCCCAAUUAAAAACUUCAAAUUUUAAACCUAAACUAACACUAUUUUAGCGGUUAUUAAUCGUAUUUUCCCAGUCAAAAACUUCAAAUUUUAAAUCUAACCUAAAACUCUCUUAGCGGCAACUAAAAAAUUGUAUGUGAUGAGCGGGAAAAGGAGGGAGGACGAGACCGGCUAUUCUCUUAUUAACCUUUUGUUUGAUUCCUAUUAUGAUUGUAUUCUUAAUCGAAGCAUCGCAUAUGAACCUUGCGACAUCAGUCGGUUAUGGAUUCAUCUACAAUACCAUCUCGUUUUUGUAUUUUGGAUCCAUUGUUUACAUCAUGACCCGACCAAGACAUGUUUUCUUAGUUGAUUAUGUCUGUUCUGCAAUCGCUGUUGGACAACCAGAGUCUGCUACUAAGCUUCGCACUUGCAAUUGAUUUAUUGAAUCAGCGAUUAGGGAGAGCCGGAGACAGACAAACAAAUAGUUUGAUUUGGAACCAUGUCCUUGUUCAAGAUUUCAAUUGUGCAUUACAAGAGAAUUUUAUACUUCAAGUUUGUUUGGUACUCGAAGGGUAAUUACCCGAUGAAUACCCAACUGGUUUUGCGUUGGAUAUGGUUUAUAACCAGGUAUGAGUAUGGGCAGGAGCGGUUCUUAGAAGUGUAGUGGCAGGGCCACGGCCCGGGUCAUAUGUACCUGUCAACUCAUCACAUAUGCUUCUACAUAUACUUAUUUGGAUUUGAGACAGAAUGUCAUGCUAUGAUCAGAUUGUAUUUCAUAGAAUUCUAUGCAAUUGGGAUGCGGAAGAAAGUUGGAUAUCUAAAGAAGCGACUACAAUAUAUAUAUGAUGAAGCCGAGAAACUAGCAUACUAUGGAAUCAAUGAGCGACAAGUCCAUUAUGAAGAAUGGAGUUGGCGGCACAACUCAAAUAGUACACCGCCAUGAAAGAAACGAAGCACGCGAUGGAAUUGGAGGCGAUUGAAUUGAGGAAGAAAAGAGAGUCGGAGGCUCGCGAGCUCAUAUCGGAACAACGCGAGACGAUGAAAAACUACAAUUACGAUCGAGAUAUGAAAACAUUCCUCAAGCUGCACGACGAUGCUCCGCCAAAUA
Molecule: long non-coding RNA, 1410 nt
Organism: Helianthus annuus (common sunflower)
Lineage: Eukaryota; Viridiplantae; Streptophyta; Magnoliopsida; Asterales; Asteraceae
Exons: 6
Source: RefSeq, a predicted model, not a curated record